GAUCCUGCCAGUAGUCAUAUGCUUGUCUCAAAGAUUAAGCCAUGCAUGUCUAAGUAUAAACCCCAGAAUGGUGAAACUGCGAAUGGCUCAUUAAAUCAGUCAUAGUUUCUUUGAGCGUAGCAAAGUUACUUGGAUAACUGUGGUAAUUCUAGAGCUAAUACAUGCAACAAGCGGCUUUUUAAGUCGUGCUUUUAUUAGACGCAAGACCAAACGGCUUCGGCCGUUAGUCUGGUGAGCUCUGAGUGACAAGGAGAUCGCAUGGCCUCGUGCCGGCGACCGCAUCUUUCAAGUGUCUGCCCUAUCAACUGUCGACGGUAGGGUAUAGGCCUACCGUGGUGGCAACGGGUGACGGGGAAUCAGGGUUCGAUUCCGGAGAGGGAGCCUGAGAAACGGCUACCACAUCCAAGGAAGGCAGCAGGCGCGCAAAUUACCCACUCCCGACACGGGGAGGUAGUGACGAUAAAUAACGAUGUAGAGCAUCUUAUGUUCUGCAAUUGGAAUGAGUACACUUUAAAUCCUUUAACGAGGAUCUAUUGGAGGGCAAGUCUGGUGCCAGCAGCCGCGGUAAUUCCAGCUCCAAUAGCGUAUAUUAAAGCUGCUGCAUUUAAAAAGCUCGUAGUUGGAUCUCGGGAGCAGAGCUGUGGUACUCUGAAAGGAUGCACUGCAGACCUGUCCAUCUAUCACUCUGCGGUUUCCUUGUGGGUGCUCUUCACUGAGUGCUCACGAAGAACCGUGACGUUUACCUUGAAAAAAUUAGAGUGCUCAACGCAAGCUUAGCUUGAAUAAUGCAGCAUGGAAUAAUGGAAUAGGACCUCAUUCUUGUUCUGUUGGUCUUAGAGACUUGAGGUAAUGAUUAAGAGGGACAGACGGGGGCAUUCGUAUUUCUGCGUUAGAGGUGAAAUUCUUGGACCGCAGAAAGACGAACUAAUGCGAAAGCAUUUGCCAAGCAUGUUUUCAUUAAUCAAGAACGAAAGUUAGAGGAUCGAAGGCGAUCAGAUACCGCCGUAGUUCUAACCAUAAACGAUGCUAAUCGGCGAUCAGCGGUCGUUGCCCAUUGACCCCGCUGGCAGCCUUGGGGAAACCAGAAUUUUUCAGUUCUGGGGGAAGUAUGGUUGCAAAGCUGGAACUUAAAGGAAUUGACGGAAGGGCACCACCAGGAGUGGAGCCUGCGGCUUAAUUUGACUCAACACGGGAAAACUCACCCGGCCCGGACACAGUGAGGAUUGACAGAUUGAGAGCUCUUUCUUGAUUCUGUGGAUGGUGGUGCAUGGCCGUUCUUAGUUGGUGGAGUGAUUUGUCUGGUUAAUUCCGAUAACGAACGAGAUCCCAUCCUGCUAAAUAGUCACUUGACCUCGGUCCAGGGUCGACUUCUUAGAGGGACAGGUGGCGUAUAGCCACACGAAAUGGAGCAAUAACAGGUCUGUGAUGCCCUUAGAUGUUCGGGGCNCACGCGCGCUACACUGAAAGAGUCAACGCGUGUCUACCCUGCGCCGAGAGGUGCGGGUAAUCGUUUCAGCCCCUUUCGUGAUGGGGAUAGGGGAUUGCAAUUUUUCCCCUUGAACGAGGAAUUCCCAGUAAGUGCGAGUCAUAAGCUUGCAUUGAUUACGUCCCUGCCCUUUGUACACACCGCCCGUCGCUACUACCGAUUGAAUGGUUUAGUGAGAUCUUCUGAUUGUGCGAGACUACAUACCUCGGUACGGCGUCUUUGCACGAAAAGUUGUUCAAACUUGAUCAUUUAGAGGAAGUAAAAGUCGUAACAAGGUUUCCGUAGUGAACCUGCAGAUGG
RNAcentral lists this ribosomal RNA (1786 nucleotides) under Nemertoderma westbladi. Its description in RNAcentral is "SSU rRNA". It matches the Rfam family "Eukaryotic small subunit ribosomal RNA". The record is from RNAcentral. Lineage: Eukaryota; Metazoa; Xenacoelomorpha; Nemertodermatida; Nemertodermatidae.